GUGCUCACUUGGCAGCACAUAUACUAAAACUGGAAUGGUGCAGACAUUCGCAUUGCCCCGUACAAGGAUAACAUGCUGGGUUUCUUUAACUACUUUUUU
Molecule: small nuclear RNA, 99 nt
Filed under: Mesocricetus auratus (golden hamster)
Lineage: Eukaryota; Metazoa; Chordata; Mammalia; Rodentia; Cricetidae
Source: RNAcentral